Unclassified non-coding RNA from Pongo abelii (Sumatran orangutan), 117 nucleotides. It matches the Rfam family "Metazoan signal recognition particle RNA". From Rfam's summary of the family: The signal recognition particle (SRP) is a universally conserved ribonucleoprotein. NCBI's taxonomy places the organism in Eukaryota, Metazoa, Chordata, Mammalia, Primates, Hominidae. The record is from Ensembl.
GCUGGGUACAGUGACUUGUGCCUGUAAUCCCAGCAUUUUGGGAGGCUGAGGUGGGUGGGUCACUUGAGGCCAGGAGUUCGAGACCAGCCUGGCCAACAUGGUGAAACCCCGCCUCUA